GCGAAGGUGGCGGAAUUGGCAGACGCGCUAGAUUCAGGUUCUAGUGGGGUAACUCUCGUGGAGGUUCAAGUCCUCUCCUUCGCA
Molecule: transfer RNA, 84 nt
Filed under: Myxococcales bacterium
Lineage: Bacteria; Pseudomonadati; Myxococcota; Myxococcia; Myxococcales
Also listed under: 1 other name
Description: tRNA-Leu
Rfam family: tRNA
About the family: Transfer RNA (tRNA) molecules are approximately 80 nucleotides in length. Their secondary structure includes four short double-helical elements and three loops (D, anti-codon, and T loops). Further hydrogen bonds mediate the characteristic L-shaped molecular structure. tRNAs have two regions of fundamental functional importance: the anti-codon, which is responsible for specific mRNA codon recognition, and the 3' end, to which the tRNAs corresponding amino acid is attached (by aminoacyl-tRNA synthetases). tRNAs cope with the degeneracy of the genetic code in two manners: having more than one tRNA (with a specific anti-codon) for a particular amino acid; and 'wobble' base-pairing, i.e. permitting non-standard base-pairing at the 3rd anti-codon position.
Source: RNAcentral